Molecule: signal recognition particle RNA, 317 nt
Filed under: Candidatus Bathyarchaeota archaeon
Lineage: Archaea; Thermoproteati; Candidatus Bathyarchaeota
Description: signal recognition particle sRNA
Rfam family: Archaeal signal recognition particle RNA
Source: RNAcentral
CGAUGGAUCUUAAGCGGUGGGUUAGGGGUCCAUUACUUCCGUAAAUCCUCUACAUGACGGGCUGACAUCUGCGGAUGAGGCGUCAAAGGCCGCUUGGAGCUUCACCUCCGAACCAGUGACUAUCCGUCCUUUGGGGCUGGCGGUCAACGGGCGGUUUCCGUAGGGAAACUGCUUCGUUGUUUAGCAGGCGAACCUGGCUAGGCUCGGGAGAGAGCAACCUAAGUUUGGACGUUAUGCGCUCAAGGGGGUGCGGGUAAGAGUGUAGGGCUUGAGGCGUUUCAGGCGGAGUCUGGGCGUCAAACCGCAGUGAUCCAUCG